UCCGGGGCUACACACGUGUUACAAUGGGGGGUACAGAGGGCCGCUACCACGCGAGUGGAUGCCAAUCCCCAAAACCUCUCUCAGUUCGGACUGGAGUCUGCAACCCGACUCCACGAAGCUGGAUUCGCUAGUAAUCGCGCAUCAGCCACGGCGCGGUGAAUACGUUCCCGGGCCUUGUACACACCGCCCGUCAAGCCAUGGGAGCCGGGGGUACCUGAAGUGCGUAACCGCGAGGAGCGCCCUAGGGUAAAACUGGUGACUGGGGCUAAGUCGUAACAAGGUAGCCGUACCGGAAGGUGCGGCUGGAACACC
This 312-nucleotide ribosomal RNA is filed under the name Phocaeicola vulgatus str. 3975 RP4. Its description in RNAcentral is "bacterial SSU rRNA". It matches the Rfam family "Bacterial small subunit ribosomal RNA", at positions 1207 to 1527 of the family's 1533-position model. The record is from RNAcentral. Lineage: Bacteria; Pseudomonadati; Bacteroidota; Bacteroidia; Bacteroidales; Bacteroidaceae.